This 483-nucleotide ribosomal RNA is filed under the name uncultured bacterium. RNAcentral's name for it is "bacterial SSU rRNA". It matches the Rfam family "Bacterial small subunit ribosomal RNA", at positions 30 to 507 of the family's 1533-position model. The record is from RNAcentral.
AUUGAACGCUGGCGGCAUGCCUUACACAUGCAAGUCGAACGGUAACAGGUCUUCGGAUGCUGACGAGUGGCGGACGGGUGAGUAAUGCGUGGGAAUCUACCUGGCAAUGGGGGAUAACCCGGGGAAACUCGGGCUAAUACCGCAUACGCCCCAUGGGGGAAAGCGGGGGACCUUCGGGCCUCGCGUUGUCAGAUGAGCCCACGUCCGAUUAGCUAGUUGGUGGGGUAAUGGCCUACCAAGGCGACGAUCGGUAGCUGGUCUGAGAGGACGACCAGCCACACUGGGACUGAGACACGGCCCAGACUCCUGCGGGAGGCAGCAGUGGGGAAUUUUGGACAAUGGGCGCAAGCCUGAUCCAGCAAUGCCGCGUGCAGGAAGAAGGCCUUCGGGUUGUAAACUGCUUUUGUUACGGAGCGAAAAGGUCUUCCCUAAUACGGGAGGCUGAUGACGGUACCGUAAGAAUAAGCACCGGCUAACUACGUG